RNAcentral lists this small RNA (591 nucleotides) under Pan troglodytes (chimpanzee). RNAcentral describes it as "retained intron". The record is from RNAcentral. Lineage: Eukaryota; Metazoa; Chordata; Mammalia; Primates; Hominidae.
CCAAAUGACAUGAUCUUCAGUGCAAUUGCCUCAAUGUUCCCUGAGAAUGGUGUCCCAGAUGACAUGAAGGAGAGGUAUCGAGAGCUAACAGAGAUGUCAGACCCCAAUGCACUUCCCCCUCAGUGCACACCCAACAUCGAUGGCCCCAAUGCCAAGUCUGUGCAGCGGGAGCAAUCUCUGCACUCCUUCCACACACUUUUUUGCCGGCGCUGCUUUAAAUACGACUGCUUCCUUCACCGUGAGUGGGGCUACUCUGUUUGAAAUGCUCUCCUCUCUUCCAUCCCCAGCCACCAUUUCCUUCUCUUUGUUCUGGUUUCUCGUAUAGAGUUCCUGGCUUCUGUUCUAACGUUUUACAAAGGGCCAGUUCUGUUUUCCCUUGCUCAAUUAUAGUGCAACAUGCUUUGCAUGAUAGGGACAGACUAACUAGCAACUUAUCUGUCCCUCAGUACCUCUUAGCUUUGAAAGCAUUGUGUUGAUGUCAGAAAUGACUGAAUUUUGUGCACCCUGAUGGUAGCCGUUUAUAUCGAAUUCUAACUCCUACAAUAGCUCUCUAAUUCACUUUUGUUUCUCCCCAUCUUGUCAAGUGGAUAG